Molecule: ribosomal RNA, 216 nt
Filed under: Glomeromycotina sp.
Lineage: Eukaryota; Fungi; Glomeromycota
Description: partial small subunit ribosomal RNA
Rfam family: Eukaryotic small subunit ribosomal RNA (bases 87-216)
Source: RNAcentral
GGGUCAGUAGGUUGGUCGUGCCACCGGUACGUACUGGUCUCACUGAUUCCUCCUUCCUGAAGAACCGUAAUGCCACUAAUUUGGUGUUGCGGGGAAACAGGACUGUUACUUUGAAAAAAUUAGAGUGUUUAAAGCAAGCUAACGCUUGAAUACAUUAGCAUGGAAUAAUGAAAUAGGACGAUCGAUCCUAUUUUGUCGGUUUCUAGGAUUGACGUA